Molecule: ribosomal RNA, 491 nt
Filed under: uncultured bacterium
Lineage: Bacteria
Description: partial 16S ribosomal RNA
Rfam family: Bacterial small subunit ribosomal RNA
Source: RNAcentral
GUGCACGCUGGCGGUAGGCCUAACCCAUGCAAGUCGAACGGCAGCACAGUAAGAGCUUGCUCUUACGGGUGGCGAGUGGCGGACGGGUGAGGAAUACAUCGGAAUCUACUUUUUCGUGGGGGAUAACGUAGGGAAACUUACGCUAAUACCGCAUACGACCUACGGGUGAAAGCAGGGGAUCUUCGGACCUUGCGCGAUUGAAUGAGCCGAUGUCGGAUUAGCUAGUUGGCGGGGUAAAGGCCCACCAAGGCGACGAUCCGUAGCUGGUCUGAGAGGAUGAUCAGCCACACUGGAACUGAGACACGGUCCAGACUCCUACGGGAGGCAGCAGUGGGGAAUAUUGGACAAUGGGCGCAGGCCUGAUCCAGCCAUACCGCGUGGGUGAAGAAGGCCUUCGGGUUGUAAAGCCCUUUUGUUGGGAAAGAAAAGCAGCAGGUUAAUACCCCGCUGUUCUGACGGUACCCAAAGAAUAAGCACCGGCUAACUUCGUG